This is a long non-coding RNA of Strigops habroptila (Kakapo), 3608 nucleotides long. RefSeq lists it as uncharacterized. Lineage: Eukaryota; Metazoa; Chordata; Aves; Psittaciformes; Psittacidae. The transcript has 2 exons. The record is from RefSeq and is a predicted model, not a curated record.
CCAGGGCACGGCUGGAGCCCGCCCGCGGCACCACCGCCGGCAUGGGCACCGCCAGCCGCCGCGGGACGCAGAGUCGAGCCUACUGUGGGCGCCUCGGGCCGGCGGGCAGCAGCCGCUUCAGGGCCUGGUCAGCAGUGGCCACCACAGGGCCCGGCGGGCUCCCGACACUCCUGAUGUAUCCUUAUUUUGAUAGGAAAUUUGUGGGAAAACCGCAUAUGGAUCAGAGUGGCCUCGUUCACCGCGAGGAAGCAGAUGUUGUUAAGGAGCUUUGUGCGAUUUUGCCCUCAGGGCAGAGAAGGGCAGCAAGAGCUGGAGCCAUGCUAUAGCCAUGGGUGGCUACCGGUGAACUGCAGCACAGAGGAGGCACAAAUGCGAUCACAGAUACCAGAGAGGUGACUUCACAUAGUUUCAGCCCAGCAAAGGACGUGGCUUAGUGUCUCUGAGAGCAGCUCCAGGCCUGUGCUCCAGUGGUCUUCUCCCCUUUAAGUACUUGCAGCUCUAGCAGCUCCAAACUGCGUAGUUGAGUUCAAAGUGUGAAUGUUGUUAACCACCCCCUAAUGUGGCAGGUCAGUCUUCCUUCAGCCAUUUAUGUUGUUCUUCAACCACCAGAGGCUUCUGAAAAUGUUCCCAUUAGUGAACUGCCCACAGCCAUUUAUAAUACUCUUGACAUGUUCCUACUGGUACAAUUUUGCUAGAGAGAUGCUUCUCGUAUUAGUGCAAAAACACAUCCUCCAAAAUAACUUAGUAAAAUAGAAACUUGUCUACCUUAAAGGUGGGCAGACUUAAUUUUAAAUACCCACAUUAAAAAUGCCAGCAAGAAUAAUUUCUUAGUGGCUGAAUUAUUAACAUUCAGUCAGUUUUCAGUGGAAGUUCUUACAAAACUUCACAAUAGACACAUAUUCUCAUUAUUAUUGCAAGCCAUUUCCUCAAAAUGUAGCAAUAGAUGCCAUAUGCCAACACUAACUAGCAAAUGCAAGUCAUUAUCUGUGUUAUUUUUGGAACAAGAUAAGAUUUUUUUGAGUGAUCCGUAGCUCCAAGCUGUCAGACGGAAACUUGGUAUUAACCUCUAUAAAUAAACAGAGUAGUUAGUAAAUGAUACUAUAAAAUCAGUACUUAGCAGAAGAAUAGCCAGCGUUUCUAACCUGCACGAUGACAGCAUGCUUGUAAAACCACAGGAGGGGAUUCUGAGAACAAGGACGUAUGAUCUGCCACUGCCUAAUGUGGUUGGGUUUAUAACAAUAUUUGGCAUUUGGUUGACUAAGAUCAACGAGGUACAAAGGAGGCCUGCAGGCAAUCUACGACUCUUCACUAGCAAACUAAAAAAGGCAAAAAGGAUUAACACAAAUUAAAUAAUCAGGGUAUUGACGCCCUCAGAAUAAACACACAAUAGCAGUGAGCUGCAGCAUGGUCUUGAAGUGAGCUGUCAGUGAGAAACCCAAGCCAGGUGUGCAGUAAUUAUAAAUAGUAUCAAGCAGUAUACUGUGAAGACUAACAUUUGAAACCAAAGCUACCACAAUAUGAGUGGGUAUAUGGUAGAUUAAACAGAUAUGUUCACUAAUACUUUUAUAAAUGUACUUGCCUGUGACAUUGCUCCAUCUGGCCUGACUGAGAUAUUUUUACAAAGACUUGGAGGCCUGAAAAAAAUAGUACACUUUAUUUAUGGCUUGAGAAAUGUAUUUGUUGAAAUUUCUUUUGGAGAGGGGAAUACCGUGUCUUUUCAACCUCAAUUGUCUCCUGUUGUAUUUUUUGAAAAAUAAGUCUCUCUUGAAAUCACUGCAUAGAAAUCUCAUUCUACAACUCAAAUUUAUGUCAAAGAUGACUUUGGAUCAGCUCUCCAUGUCAGCCUGUGUUCAGCUUUGAAUAUCUGAAUGACACAUUUUGUUAAGGAAAAUUCAUGCACAGACUAAACACAGAUUGACUUGAGUAUGCGUUGGGGUUUGUGGAGAUAUUUGCAGAUAAAACUACUUAAGAUUGAGACAGCUUACCUUAGGAAUUAGGCAAGAGGUGGCAGGGGCAUGGUUGCCCUUAGACCUGAUCUUAUACCAGCUGCGUGAAGGAGUUGCUCUUUUAGAUUUGGAGAGUGAAAAUAAGAAUACAUGAGAUGGGUUAUGGAAGUAGCUGCUGCCGUUUGAAAAUCCUGGUGAUGAAAGUAACACUACCCAGGGCUAGGAGAGUCCCACAGGGCUUAUGUGACCUAGAGCACAUGUGAUGCACCAGGCAGCAAUGGGGAGUCCCCAGCUGGGGAAUCCAUGUCUGCUACGCAGGGUCCUCAGCCAAAAAGCUUGUUGCAGGCUGCUGUCAGGAGCCAUCCAAGGACUCCAUCCUGUGAAAGCCUCUUGUUUGUGAGCUAAGGUUGCCAUUCCAUGAAUGUUUCCAAAAAGAACGUGGUGAAAGGAUUUUAGCUUUUCAUUGUAGUACAGUGACUCUUGACAUUUCUGAGGGAAAUGCAGAUUUUAUUUGAAUUCUGAUUAUUCACCGAUUCUAUUUCUGUUUAUUUGUUUUGAUUUGUAGCCAGGUUUUCUGCAGUGAUCUCUGUAGAGCUACGUGUUCUUCUUUGACAUGCAACAGAGAUUGGCAGAGAUGGUAUAGUUUCCCUCUCUUCCUGGCAUUCUCUGAGCCCGUGUUACCAGGUAUUACACAAGCAAACACUGACAAACUGAUUUCCUGAAGACUUUGAGAAUAUUAUCAUCAGUUUUAACAUGAUCAGAAUUUUACUCACCAUUUUAUUAAUGUGUCAGUGGGAUUUAUUAAUUUUUUUUAUUUUGGUGGUAUAGGUGCCAGAAUAAAGGUUCUAUACAAUGUGCAAGGGUAGAGCCCUAAAAAUGGAAAGCUCUAUUUUCUAAAGCUUGAGAGUAUCUGUAGCUCAAAGUUAGAAAAGAAUAAUAUUGCUAUACAUAUAACCGACUAUCUAGUUGCACAGGAUUCAAAUAUCUGAAAAAUAGGAAAUACAAUGGGGUAAGAUCAUGACGUUCUGUGUGACACAGGUAAGCUGCAGUAUAAGACCCCAGCCUCCAGCCUCCAUCAGUUUGGCUGAUGGGAGAACUGAGUAACAAUAUUACUGUUUUCCCAGAGUUAUUCAAAGAAAGUGGAGAGAAAAUAAACUUAUAUUACUUUGUUAUUUACUUUUACUUUUCCUGGAGGUGGCUUUUUGAAAGCAUUUUAAUAAAAGAUACCUAUCAAAGCACAUUGCAUUUUAAUCUUUCUUGAUGUUGCCUGGGAGACACAAGCCUGAAGACUGAAAUUUGAAAAAGGAUGUUUGUAAACCGGAGCAGAAAUUGGGUAUGUUCUUUAGCCAGGCUUUGUGAAGCAGACAGAAUGUCUCUUCCCUAGCUGCUGCUUUGAUUUAAAACUGCCUCCCUGGCUUCCAGCUUCAGAUCAAGGACUUGAGGAAGAUAAAUACAAAUUCUACAAAAUUUUAAAAUUUAUAUCUAUUUAUGCAUGUGAGCAUUUAAUUAUUCUGUACAGUGUGGCAGUACGUUCAGGACAGAUGCAGAAAGACAAACCAGCAUGCCUGCAAAGCUGUGGGGCAGGCCACACUCUGAUGGACUUGAAAAAUUUUUCACAAUGAGAACACUUAGCCAUUGGAAUAACCUCCCCUGGGAAGUGGU